AAAGUCGUAACAAGGUUUCCGUAGGUGAACCUGGAAUACGAUAAUUG
This 47-nucleotide ribosomal RNA is filed under the name Juglans regia (Persian walnut). RNAcentral describes it as "18S ribosomal RNA". Lineage: Eukaryota; Viridiplantae; Streptophyta; Magnoliopsida; Fagales; Juglandaceae. The record is from RNAcentral.